This is an RNA transcript of Telopea speciosissima, 1985 nucleotides long. It is a transcript of the gene named transcription initiation factor TFIID subunit 12, with no coding region annotated. Lineage: Eukaryota; Viridiplantae; Streptophyta; Magnoliopsida; Proteales; Proteaceae. The transcript is spliced from 9 exons. The record is from RefSeq and is a predicted model, not a curated record.
AUAUAAUCUCAGACGAAGUGCAAAUCUACAGAGCUUCACUGUCUCUUGGUUUCAUGGAUCCCAUGGGAACACCGGCAACCGUUCCACAGCCGACGGAGCCAACACCACCUUCAACUUCACCGGUCCCCUCGUCAUUACCUGCAAUAGCUUCCGCGGCAGAAACUGCACCUUCAUCUUCCUCAAGUCCGAACCCUAACCCUAGUCCUAACCCUAACCAAAACCAAAACCAAAACCAAAACCAAAACCAAAAUACACAGCCAUCGACUUCUCUUCAGCAGCCACAACAACCACCACUACCUCCUCAACCGCAGCAGCAGCCGAAUUACCAACACUCUCAAACCCGGCCUUCAGGCAUUCCUUUGAACCGUCUUCGACCACAACCGCCUUAUCAAAAUUUCACGCAUAUCUCGUCUCUCACUUCUUCGACAACCUCAGCUCCCUUGCCUCCGUCCUUAUCAUCGCCUGCUUCACCUUCCAUUUCCACACCACCCAUUCAGAGAGGUGGUAUUGCAAUUGGAGUUCCGGCGCAGCAUGCCAGGCCUCCCCAGCAACCCACGUUUUUCAACCAACCAUUUACUGGGUUGGCUAGGGGUUCAGUCAAUGUAUCUGACCCAAGUACUAAUACAACCAACGCUACUACGGUGAGGCCGCCAAUGCAUGGGGUUCCGGGUAUGGGCAUGGUGGGUUCUCAUGGUCCUGGGUCUCAAUUGCGGCCAGGUGGGGUUUCUGGACAUCCUCAACAGAGAUCUGUUCAACCACCAAUAAGAUCUCAAUCUCCAUCCAGUAGCCAGUCUUUAGCUAGUCAAAAGUUUCAAGGCCAUAGUCUACUAAGAGUCUCAUCUAUGGGUCCUCCUGGUUCUCCUUCGCCGGGUACGCCGCAAAGUUCCCAAAACCCUUCACAACCAUGGAUGUCAGCGGGCCAACAGGGGAAACAAACACAUCCAUCUUUACCAUCCUCUUCAUACAGGCCACAGAUGAAGCAACAGUCUUUGCAGCAAAGAUCUCACAUUCCUCAACAACAGCAUCAUCCUUUACCGAUGGCUUCCCAUCAACAACAUAUGCCAUCUGCCCAGCAGCAGCAGCAACAACAACCAUCACCAUCACUUCAGUCACAAGAGCACCAUGUACAACAAUAUCCACCACCAAGGGUUCCCCAGUCUCUGCCUCAUCAAUAUCAGGCUACACGAGGACAAGGAUUGGGAAACCAGAAAACAACACCCUCUCUUACAACAGUGCAACCUACAAAUGCCCAGUCAGGGACCCAAAAUAUAGCGGCUAGUGCAGAUGCUGGUGAGUGUGGUAAUCAGGUCGUCAGUAAGAGAAGCAUACAUGAACUAGUCUCUCAGAUUGAUCCAUCUGAAAGGUUAGAUCCUGAAGUUGAAAACAUUCUUGUGGAGAUUGCAGAUGAAUUCGUUGACAGUAUAACAACAUUUGCUUGUUCAUUGGCCAAGCAUCGCAAAUCAACUACAUUAGAAGCAAAGGACGUGCUUCUGCAUUUAGAAAGAAAUUGGAAUAUAACACUUCCUGGGUUUGGUGGAGAUGAGAUCAAGAGCUACAAGAAGCCGUUUGCAGCAGAUAUUCACAAGGAGCGGCUUGCAGCAAUUAAGAAAUCGAUUGUAGGAGUUGAGGCAGUGAAUACGAAGAGCUCUGCUGGACAAGCUGCUGGAAAUCUGAAAGGUCAUGUGGCAAAGGCACCUGUUAUUGGUUCUCCCAAGACGAGUGAAGUGCCUUGAGUUAAUUAGGCAUCUUUUGGUAGUGUCCUAUGGGGAUGAUCUUCAUUACAUAAGGUAGAUCUCUGUAGGAGUGGAAGGUAAUGACCCUGAUGGCAUGGCGAGGGAAGUCCAAAUUUUGAGAUAUUGUAGGGAUUGUUGCACAGUUUUUGUGAAAAAUCUGAUAAUUUAGCCUGGAAUUUGUAAAUACAAAUACUUUAAGUGCGUCCGUAUUAGUCUUGCAGCCAAAAGUAGAAUUUAAUUGUAGACUUUGGU